RNAcentral lists this ribosomal RNA (253 nucleotides) under uncultured bacterium. RNAcentral's name for it is "partial 16S ribosomal RNA". It matches the Rfam family "Bacterial small subunit ribosomal RNA", at positions 524 to 776 of the family's 1533-position model. The record is from RNAcentral.
UACGGAGGGUGCGAGCGUUAAUCGGAAUUACUGGGCGUAAAGGGUGCGUAGGUGGUUGAUUAAGUUAUCUGUGAAAUACCUGGGCUUAACCUGGGCAGGUCAGAUGAUACUGAUUGACUCGAGUACGGGAGAGGGUAGUGGAAUUUCCGGUGUAGCGGUGAAAUGCGUAGAGAUCGGAAGGAACACCGGUGGCGAAGGCGGCUACCUGGCCUGAUACUGACACUGAGGCACGAAAGCGUGGGGAGCAAACAGG